UGAGCUGAACAGUUCAGAUCUGGUAGUGAGCGACCCAGUUCCCAGAUCUGUGCCUAGCGUCUUCGAAGAUGGGCAAUCUGUUAUGUUGCUGUAGGGGAUGUGCCCUGCUGAGGAGGCUGUGGCCA
This is a long non-coding RNA of Suricata suricatta (meerkat), 125 nucleotides long. RefSeq lists it as uncharacterized. Lineage: Eukaryota; Metazoa; Chordata; Mammalia; Carnivora; Herpestidae. The record is from RefSeq and is a predicted model, not a curated record. The transcript is spliced from 5 exons.